Molecule: ribosomal RNA, 472 nt
Filed under: uncultured organism
Description: partial 16S ribosomal RNA
Rfam family: Bacterial small subunit ribosomal RNA
Source: RNAcentral
ACUCCUGCGGGAGGCAGCAGUGGGGAAUAUUGCACAAUGGGCGCAAGCCUGAUGCAGCCAUGCCGCGUGUAUGAAGAAGGCCUUCGGGUUGUAAAGUACUUUCAGCGGGGAGGAAGGCGAUAAGGUUAAUAACCUUGUCGAUUGACGUUACCCGCAGAAGAAGCACCGGCUAACUCCGUGCCAGCAGCCGCGGUAAUACGGAGGGUGCAAGCGUUAAUCGGAAUUACUGGGCGUAAAGCGCACGCAGGCGGUCUGUCAAGUCGGAUGUGAAAUCCCCGGGCUCAACCUGGGAACUGCAUUCGAAACUGGCAGGCUAGAGUCUUGUAGAGGGGGGUAGAAUUCCAGGUGUAGCGGUGAAAUGCGUAGAGAUCUGGAGGAAUACCGGUGGCGAAGGCGGCCCCCUGGACAAAGACUGACGCUCAGGUGCGAAAGCGUGGGGAGCAAACAGGAUUAGAUACCCCAGUAGUCCCAU